This 253-nucleotide ribosomal RNA is filed under the name uncultured bacterium. RNAcentral's name for it is "partial 16S ribosomal RNA". It matches the Rfam family "Bacterial small subunit ribosomal RNA", at positions 524 to 776 of the family's 1533-position model. The record is from RNAcentral.
UACGUAGGGGGCAAGCGUUAUCCGGAAUUACUGGGUGUAAAGGGUGAGUAGGCGGCAAGAUAAGUCAUAUGUGAAAACUUUGUGCUUAACACAAAGACUGCAUAAGAAACUGUCAUGCUAGAGUACAGGAGAGGUAAGCGGAAUUCCUAGUGUAGCGGUGAAAUGCGUAGAUAUUAGGAGGAACACCAGUGGCGAAGGCGGCUUACUGGACUGAAACUGACGCUGAGUCACGAAAGCGUGGGGAGCAAACAGG